RNAcentral lists this small RNA (667 nucleotides) under Fusarium oxysporum. Its description in RNAcentral is "eukaryotic LSU rRNA". The stretch from base 166 to 319 matches the Rfam family "5.8S ribosomal RNA". The record is from RNAcentral. Lineage: Eukaryota; Fungi; Ascomycota; Sordariomycetes; Hypocreales; Nectriaceae.
CAGCGGAGGGAUCAUUACCGAGUUUACAACUCCCAAACCCCUGUGAACAUACCACUUGUUGCCUCGGCGGAUCAGCCCGCUCCCGGUAAAACGGGACGGCCCGCCAGAGGACCCCUAAACUCUGUUUCUAUAUGUAACUUCUGAGUAAAACCAUAAAUAAAUCAAAACUUUCAACAACGGAUCUCUUGGUUCUGGCAUCGAUGAAGAACGCAGCAAAAUGCGAUAAGUAAUGUGAAUUGCAGAAUUCAGUGAAUCAUCGAAUCUUUGAACGCACAUUGCGCCCGCCAGUAUUCUGGCGGGCAUGCCUGUUCGAGCGUCAUUUCAACCCUCAAGCACAGCUUGGUGUUGGGACUCGCGUUAAUUCGCGUUCCCCAAAUUGAUUGGCGGUCACGUCGAGCUUCCAUAGCGUAGUAGUAAAACCCUCGUUACUGGUAAUCGUCGCGGCCACGCCGUUAAACCCCAACUUCUGAAUGUUGACCUCGGAUCAGGUAGGAAUACCCGCUGAACUUAAGCAUAUCAAUAAGCGGAGGAAAAGAAACCAACAGGGAUUGCCCUAGUAACGGCGAGUGAAGCGGCAACAGCUCAAAUUUGAAAUCUGGCUCUCGGGCCCGAGUUGUAAUUUGUAGAGGAUACUUUUGAUGCGGUGCCUUCCGAGUUCCCUGGAACG